UAGGCUAGGAGCAUUCUUCAUUAGCCCUCC
This 30-nucleotide non-coding RNA is filed under the name Rattus norvegicus (Norway rat). The record is from RNAcentral. Lineage: Eukaryota; Metazoa; Chordata; Mammalia; Rodentia; Muridae.